Molecule: ribosomal RNA, 257 nt
Filed under: uncultured bacterium
Lineage: Bacteria
Description: partial small subunit ribosomal RNA
Rfam family: Bacterial small subunit ribosomal RNA
Source: RNAcentral
AGGACGAACGCUGGCGGCGUGCUUAACACAUGCAAGUCGAACGGAAAGGCCCGCUUGCGGGUACUCGAGUGGCGAACGGGUGAGUAACACGUGGGCAACCUGCCCUCAGCUUCGGGAUACCACUUGGAAACAGGUGCUAAUACCGGAUAAUAACCUUUCAUCGCAUGGUGUGGGGUUCAAAGUUUUUCGGCUGAGGAUGGGCCCGCGGCCUAUCAGCUUGUUGGUGGGGUAAUGGCCUACCAAGGCGACGACGGGUA